This 497-nucleotide ribosomal RNA is filed under the name uncultured bacterium. RNAcentral describes it as "partial 16S ribosomal RNA". It matches the Rfam family "Bacterial small subunit ribosomal RNA", at positions 28 to 507 of the family's 1533-position model. The record is from RNAcentral.
GAUGAACGCUGGCGGCGUGCCUAAUACAUGCAAGUCGAGCGAACGGACGAGAAGCUUGCUUCUCUGAUGUUAGCGGCGGACGGGUGAGUAACACGUGGAUAACCUACCUAUAAGACUGGGAUAACUUCGGGAAACCGGAGCUAAUACCGGAUAAUAUUUUGAACCGCAUGGUUCAAGAGUGAAAGACGGUCUUGCUGUCACUUAUAGAUGGAUCCGCGCUGCAUUAGCUAGUUGGUAAGGUAACGGCUUACCAAGGCAACGAUGCAUAGCCGACCUGAGAGGGUGAUCGGCCACACUGGAACUGAGACACGGUCCAGACUCCUACGGGAGGCAGCAGUAGGGAAUCUUCCGCAAUGGGCGAAAGCCUGACGGAGCAACGCCGCGUGAGUGAUGAAGGUCUUCAGAUCGUAAAACUCUGUUAUUAGGGAAGAACAUAUGUGUAAGUAACUGUGCACAUCUUGACGGUACCUAAUCAGAAAGCCACGGCUAACUACGUG